RNAcentral lists this ribosomal RNA (554 nucleotides) under Salmonella enterica. RNAcentral describes it as "partial 23S ribosomal RNA". It matches the Rfam family "Bacterial large subunit ribosomal RNA", at positions 1 to 1056 of the family's 2925-position model. The record is from RNAcentral. Lineage: Bacteria; Pseudomonadati; Pseudomonadota; Gammaproteobacteria; Enterobacterales; Enterobacteriaceae.
ACUCCACAUACGCAUCCUUUGCUGAGGAUACGGUUAACGGAGCGAAAGCGACGUUCAACCGCAAAAGAAGCAGAGGGGGCUUAGUGGUGGGGUGACUGCGUACCUUUUGUAUAAUGGGUCAGCGACUUAUAUUCUGUAGCAAGGUUAACCGUAUAGGGGAGCCGCAGGGAAACCGAGUCUUAACCGGGCGUUAAGUUGCAGGGUAUAGACCCGAAACCCGGUGAUCUAGCCAUGGGCAGGUUGAAGGUUGGGUAACACUAACUGGAGGACCGAACCGACUAAUGUUGAAAAAUUAGCGGAUGACCUGUGGCUGGGGGUGAAAGGCCAAUCAAACCGGGAGAUAGCUGGUUCUCCCCGAAAGCUAUUUAGGUAGCGCCUCGUGAAUUCAUCUCCGGGGGUAGAGCACUGUUUCGGCUAGGGGGCCAUCCCGGCUUACCAACCCGAUGCAAACUGCGAAUACCGGAGAAUGUUAUCACGGGAGACACACGGCGGGUGCUAACGUCCGUCGUGAAGAGGGAAACAACCCAGACCGCCAGCUAAGGUCCCAAAGUCAU